GAUGAACGCUGGCGGCGUGCCUAAUACAUGCAAGUCGAGCGAACGGACGAGAAGCUUGCUUCUCUGAUGUUAGCGGCGGACGGGUGAGUAACACGUGGAUAACCUACCUAUAAGACUGGGAUAACUUCGGGAAACCGGAGCUAAUACCGGAUGAUAUUUUGAACCGCAUGGUUCAAAAGUGAAAGACGGUCUUGCUGUCACUUAUAGAUGGAUCCGCGCUGCAUUAGCUAGUUGGUAAGGUAACGGCUUACCAAGGCAACGAUGCAUAGCUGACCUGAGAGGGUGAUCGGCCACACUGGAACUGAGACACGGUCCAGACUCCUACGGGAGGCAGCAGUGGGGAAUCUUCCGCAAUGGGCGAAAGCCUGACGGAGCAACGCCGCGUGAGUGAUGAAGGUCUUCGGAUCGUAAAGCUCUGUUAUUAGGAAAGAACAGAUGUGUAAUUAACUGUGGACGUCUUGACGGUACCUAAUCAGAAAGCCACGGCUAACUUCGUG
This 497-nucleotide ribosomal RNA is filed under the name uncultured bacterium. RNAcentral describes it as "partial 16S ribosomal RNA". It matches the Rfam family "Bacterial small subunit ribosomal RNA", at positions 28 to 507 of the family's 1533-position model. The record is from RNAcentral.